UGCAGUCGAACGAAGUAGCAAUACUUAGUGGCAGACGGGUGAGUAACAUGUAGGUAUCUGCCCUUUGGCCUGGAAUAACACGAGGAAACUUGUGCUAAUACCGGAUAAGUCUUUACGGAGAAAGCUUUAUGCACCAUUGGAUGAGCCUGCACUUGAUUAGUUUGUUGGUGGGGUAAUGGCCUACCAAGACAAUGAUCAAUAGCUGAUUUGAGAGGAUGAUCAGCCACAUUGGGACUGAGACACGGCCCAAACUCCUACGGGAGGCAGCAGUAGGGAAUCUUGCACAAUGGAGGAAACUCUGAUGCAGCGAUGCCGCGUGAGUGAAGAAGGCCCUUGGGUUGUAAAGCUCUUUCGUCGGGGAAGAAAAUGACUGUACCCGAAUAAGAAGGUCCGGCUAACUUCGUGCCAGCAGCCGCGGUAAUACGAAGGGACCUAGCGUAGUUCGGAAUUACUGGGCUUAAAGAGUUCGUAGGUGGUUAAAAAAGUUGGUGGUGAAAGCCCAGAGCUUAACUCUGGAACUGCCAUCAAAACUUUUUAGCUAGAGUUUGAUAGAGGAAAGCAGAAUUUCUAGUGUAGAGGUGAAAUUCGUAGAUAUUAGAAAGAAUACCGAUUGCGAAGGCAGCUUUCUGGAUCAUUACUGACACUGAGGAACGAAAGCAUGGGUAGCGAAGAGGAUUAGAUACCCUCGUAGUCCAUGCCGUAAACGAUGUGUGUUA
This 716-nucleotide ribosomal RNA is filed under the name uncultured Candidatus Pelagibacter sp. RNAcentral's name for it is "bacterial SSU rRNA". It matches the Rfam family "Bacterial small subunit ribosomal RNA", at positions 56 to 818 of the family's 1533-position model. Lineage: Bacteria; Pseudomonadati; Pseudomonadota; Alphaproteobacteria; Candidatus Pelagibacterales; Candidatus Pelagibacteraceae. The record is from RNAcentral.